Molecule: ribosomal RNA, 445 nt
Filed under: uncultured bacterium
Lineage: Bacteria
Description: partial 16S ribosomal RNA
Rfam family: Bacterial small subunit ribosomal RNA
Source: RNAcentral
GUGAGGAAUAUUGCGCAAUGGAGGCAACUCUGACGCAGCCAUGCCGCGUGCAGGAAGAAGGCGCUACGCGUUGUAAACUGCUUUUAACCGGGAAGAAACCCCAGGACGUGUCCUGGGUUGACGGUACCGGAGGAAUAAGCACCGGCUAACUUCGUGCCAGCAGCCGCGGUAAUACGAAGGGUGCAAGCGUUAUCCGGAUUCAUUGGGUUUAAAGGGUGCGUAGGCGGAGCGUUAAGUCAGUGGUGAAAUCCUGCGGCUUAACUGUAGACUUGCCAUUGAUACUGGCGCUCUUGAGUGCGCUUGAAGUGGGCGGAAUGUGCCGUGUAGCGGUGAAAUGCUUAGAUAUGGCACAGAACACCAAUUGCGAAGGCAGCUCACUAAGGCGAUACUGACGCUGAGGCACGAAAGCGUGGGGAUCGAACAGGAUUAGAUACCCGAGUAGUCC